ACAUCCCGAGGACUCAGUCUCAGGGCAGUCAGGACGCUGAGGCUGGCGAAGGUAGAAUCGAGGAAACCGGUGAGACACCAAGGAGCACCUGCCUCCAAAGCCGGAAAUACAGCAGGUGGAAACACAGCAGGCGGGGGCUGGAGGGGCACUGGGAGGGAGGCAUGAGGCAGGAGCCUGGGGACCUUGAAGGGGACACUUGGGUGGACACUUAGCAGAGAACUGGCACUUCUGCUUUUUUUGCUGGGAGGACAUCUUGGACAAACUUCAGUUAUCCUGAAGAGAAAAAAACAAUGCAGACAUUUUGAUAAACUAAUGAAUGCAAACUGUUUUGCAUUCACAUUUCUGCACAGCUUGAAACUCUGCAACUAAACCUGUGAGUCCAUAGGCUACGGCGUCAUGACAGUAGAGAAGCCCUGGUUUCCCAGCAUGGAAGAAGCCCAGCAGUGGGUAAACCAGAGUUAGGCACAGAUCCCAAGAAACAUUUCUACAUUCUUAUUCCCAUGCAACCUCAUCCUUCUGCUGGAAUAAAAAGCAAGUUCUGACAUCGUGGAAAGACACAAAUAUAUCUGCCUAUAGUUCUGAAAUCAUUACAGAGGUUUUCAAGCUUUUUACAUCUGUCCCAUCACCUUGUCAUCAGGAAAGAAGACAUUUCCCAGCACCCACAUGGUGACUCUCAAUCAUCUGUAACUAUAGUUCCAGCAGAUCUGGUAUAAUCACAACCGUCUGUGACUACAGCUCCUGCAGAUCCAGUGUAAUCUCAACUAUCUAUAACUACAGUUCAGGCAGAUCUGGUGAAAUCACAACCAUCUGUAACUACAGUUCCAAUAGAUCCAGUGCCGUCUUCUGAUUUUGGCAGGUACCAGUCAUGUACUUGGUAUACAUGUAUACAUGUAGGUAAAACAUUCACACACAUAGAUUUUCAAAAAAUUGUAAAAGACUUACAAACUGAAUUCACAAAUGCAUAAAAAGACUAUAUACUCUGAGCAAGUAAGCUUCAUCUUAAAGAUGCAGCUAUGGUUCACACUACAUAAACUGAUAAAAAGAAUCCAUGAUCUCAAAGGCAGAAACUAUGUGAUCAUCUAAUUAGAUACAGAAAACACUUUUGACAAAAUCUAAAAUCUUUUCAUAAGAAAAGUCCUGAGGAAUCUAGGGAUGUGGUAUAGAUGUAAAAAAUGACUUUUAGAAUAGGAUUCCAUUUGCCUAUGAAUAAGGUCAACAACUGACAAGUGGGACUUCAUAAAACUAAGAAGCUUCUGCACAGCUAAAGGAGCAAUCAGGUGAAGAGGAAGCCCACAGAAGGGGAGAUAAUUCUUUCCAUCUAUACAACUGACAGAAGAUUAAUAAAAAGGGAACUCAAAAGAAAAAAACAGUCAAAAAGAAAAAAGAAAAGAAAAGAAAACAACAACAAUAAUAAAACCCUAAUGAUUUAUUAGAAAAAUGGGCCUGGGAAAAAAGAGCUAAGAGAAAUCUUUAAAAAUGUUCACCAUCCUUAGCAAUUAUGGAAAUGCAAUAAAAACAUCAGUUAUUUCAUCUUACCACAGCAUGGUAAAGAUGAACAAAAGAACUGACAACAGAUGCUGGAAGGAGUGUCAGGGGAAGGAAACCCUUACUUACUGUUGGUGACAUUGCAAACUGAUGUAGCUACUAUGGAAAUCAAUGUGGAGAAUUCUCAAGAGGACAAAAAUAAUCUACCAUAUUACCCAGUUAUGCUACUCCUGAGCAUAUGCCCAGAGGACUUCACAUCUGACUCUACAGAUAUUUGCUCAACCAUGUCCACUGACACUCUAUUCACAAUAGCAAGGAAAUGGAAACAACCUAAAUACCCUGCAAAAGAUGAAUGGAUAACGAAAAUGUGGUUCAUAUCUAUUAUGGAAUGCUAUUCAGAUAUAAAGUAAAAUGAAAUCAUGAACUUUGCAGGUAAAUGAUGGAACCAGGAAAGUUCAUAUUGAAUAAGGUAACCUAGACACGGAUACAUCCUAUGUUCUCUCAUCUGAGACUCCUAGCUCCAAAUCCUCAGAUGUGAGUACAUAUCCUGGAGUAAAUGCAGAAACCAGGAAACUUAAAAAGGAACUAUUGCUAGGGUGUGGCAUGGGAGAGCAAUAGAGAAGUGAAUGGUAGUAUACAAGUGAUGUGAUGGGGGAAAAUGUGAAAAUGUGAGAGAGGCUAGGGAUGGGGGAGGGAGAUAAAAACAGAAGAAGAGAGAUGGGGGUAUGAUGGUAAAAUAACAGUAAGAAUGUCUGAAACAGUCAUAAAAAAUCAUACUAUUAAACUAUUUACCAAAAAAUCUAUAGCAUGUAAAUCUGAGUAUACAGACAGGCACAUAUAUAGUUUAAAUAAAUUUUCUCACCUAGGCUCACAUUAUUUCCCCCAAGAGCCAAAGACCACCUAAUAAAAACCCUAAAUGCCAGGCAUGAGAAGUCCUCGUUUGAGUUGUUGGUCAGGCUUGUCUAAGACACCCCUCAAACAUACAGCUUACUGCUAUUGCCUUGGCAGCCCACCAGAGGUAGAAGGUGAGUCCCUACUGUUCAAGACAUCAUUCAGAAACAGAGCCCAGAGGUCCCUGAGAUGGACCUGACCUGUAUUUCCUCCUUGAGGACUAGCUUUCAUGGUACUCAAAAGCUCUCUGCAAGUCUCCAAAGUAUGGAAGUAACCAAUAGUUCUACACAGCUAUGAUGCUGAAGAAACACAAAAACAAGCAGCAUGGCACAGGAAACCUAAGGAUGCAGUAGUGGCGUGUGUACCCUGGUGGUCACAUGAGAGCCAAAGUUACACUUUAAGUUUUAAUUACUAUGCCCUCGAGAUCCAUGAAACACAAAUGCCUCUGAUCUGCAAGCCCCUUGUCCAAGGACUGAUAGUUUCUGAAAUGCUAGAGGCUAUUUUUUAUGGGAGAUAACAAGCCACACAUUUUUACUCCCCUAAACAAGUUUGUUUGACC
This is a long non-coding RNA of Peromyscus leucopus (white-footed mouse), 2935 nucleotides long. RefSeq lists it as uncharacterized. The record is from RefSeq and is a predicted model, not a curated record. The transcript is spliced from 4 exons. NCBI's taxonomy places the organism in Eukaryota, Metazoa, Chordata, Mammalia, Rodentia, Cricetidae.